CCUACGGGUGGCAGCAGUAGGGAAUAUUGCUCAAUGGAGGCAACCCUGAAGCAGCAACGCCGCGUGCAGGAUGAAGGCUUUCGGAUUGUAAACUCCUUUUUGUACAGAAGAUAACGACGAUACCUGCAAAGGAAGCACCGGCUAACUCCGUGCCAGCAGCCGCGGUAAUACGGAGGGUGCGAGCGUUAAACGGAAUUACUAGGCGUAAAGCGCUCGUAGGCGGUUGGACAAGUCAAGGGUGAAAUCCCCGCGCUCAACGUGGGAACUGCCUGUGAAACUGGCAAACUGGAGUGUGUUAGAGGUAAGUGGAAUUUCAGGUGUAGGAGUGAAAUGCGUAGAGAUCUGGAGGAACAUCAGUGGCGAAGGCGACUAUCUGGGACAUAACUGACGCUGAGGAGCGAAAGCGUGGGUAGCAAACAGGAUUAGAUACCCGAGUAGUC
This 440-nucleotide ribosomal RNA is filed under the name uncultured bacterium. Its description in RNAcentral is "partial 16S ribosomal RNA". It matches the Rfam family "Bacterial small subunit ribosomal RNA", at positions 338 to 795 of the family's 1533-position model. The record is from RNAcentral.